Molecule: ribosomal RNA, 506 nt
Filed under: uncultured bacterium
Lineage: Bacteria
Description: partial 16S ribosomal RNA
Rfam family: Bacterial small subunit ribosomal RNA
Source: RNAcentral
GACGAACGCUGGCGGCGUGCUUAACACAUGCAAGUCGAACGGUGAAGGGACUGGUUUUGCUGGUCCUGGAUGAGUGGCGAACGGGUGAGUAACACGUGAGUAACCUGCCCCCUUCUUCUGGAUAACCGCAUGAAAGUGUGGCUAAUACGGGAUAUUCUGGGUCUGUCGCAUGGUGGGCCUGGGAAAGAUUGCGCCUUUUUUGGUGUUUUUGGUGGGGGAUGGGCUCGCGGCCUAUCAGCUUGUUGGUGGGGUGAUGGCCUACCAAGGCGGUGACGGGUAGCCGGCCUGAGAGGGUGGACGGUCACACUGGGACUGAGACACGGCCCAGACUCCUACGGGAGGCAGCAGUGGGGAAUAUUGCACAAUGGGCGCAAGCCUGAUGCAGCGACGCCGCGUGAGGGAUGGAGGCCUUCGGGUUGUGAACCUCUUUCGCCAGCGAAGCAGGCCUGCCUCUUUUUGUGGGUGGGUUGACGGUAGCUGGAUAAGAAGCGCCGGCUAACUACGUG